CCAGGUCUUGACAUCCCUUGCUAAUCCUAGAAAUAGGACGUUCCUUCGGGGACAAGGUGACAGGUGGUGCAUGGUUGUCGUCAGCUCGUGUCGUGAGAUGUUGGGUUAAGUCCCGCAACGAGCGCAACCCUUAUUAUUAGUUGCCAGCAUUCAGUUGGGCACUCUAGUGAGACUGCCGGUGACAAACCGGAGGAAGGUGGGGAUGACGUCAAAUCAUCAUGCCCCUUAUGACCUGGGCUACACACGUGCUACAAUGGCAUAUACAACGAGUCGCCAACCCGCGAGGGUGCGCUAAUCUCUUAAAGUAUGUCUCAGUUCGGAUUGUAGGCUGCAACUCGCCUACAUGAAGUCGGAAUCGCUAGUAAUCGCGGAUCAGCACGCCGCGGUGAAUACGUUCCCGGGUCUUGUACACACCGCCCGUCACACCAUGAGAGUUUGUAACACCCAAAGCCGGUGGGGUAACCUUUUAGGAGCCAGCCGUCUAAGGUGGGACAGAUGAUUAGGGUGAAGUCGUAACAAGGUAAGCGUAGACGU
This 534-nucleotide ribosomal RNA is filed under the name uncultured bacterium. RNAcentral describes it as "bacterial SSU rRNA". It matches the Rfam family "Bacterial small subunit ribosomal RNA", at positions 974 to 1509 of the family's 1533-position model. The record is from RNAcentral.